CAGCCGCCGCGGUAAUACGAAGGGGGCUAGCGUUGUUCGGAUUUACUGGGCGUAAAGGGCUCGCAGGCGGUUUCUUAAGUCUGAUGUGAAAGCCCCCGGCUCAACCGGGGAGGGUCAUUGGAAACUGGGAAACUUGAGUGCAGGAGAGGAGAGUGGAAUUCCACGUGUAGCGGUGAAAUGCGUAGAGAUGUGGAGGAACACCAGUGGCGAAGGCGACUCUCUGGUCUGUAACUGACGCUGAGGAGCGAAAGCGUGGGGAGCGAACAGGAUUAGAUACCCCAGUAGUCCCUGUCUCUUAUAC
This 301-nucleotide ribosomal RNA is filed under the name uncultured bacterium. RNAcentral's name for it is "partial 16S ribosomal RNA". It matches the Rfam family "Bacterial small subunit ribosomal RNA", at positions 509 to 807 of the family's 1533-position model. The record is from RNAcentral.